GUGCAUCAGCAGUAGUGCAGUACGUGUAUACGGGUUAAGCUACAAAGCUUACAAAGCCAUUGAGUUACUUUCUGAAAUUCUGAGUGCUAGUUUUCAAAAUGUCCACUUGUAAAUGGAAAGGGUCCUACGACAGUGGUAGAAAAUAUAAAAAAUCAUGGGAAGAAAAAUACGUGUGGGUUAGUAGAGCCAGUGAUGGAAGUGAAAAUGUUUAUUGCAACGUUUGUAGAAUACAGAUAGCUCCCAAAGCAUCUCGUUUGGCAGAUCACGAAAAAUCGAAACGGCACUCAAGCAGAGUAGGUGUAUCGUGUGUGAACAGGGCGCUGCCUGUGAUGACCGCUCCAAGGAAACGGGACAGUGAGAACAAGAAACGUGUCAAGUUAGAGAAAGCGGUGGCUCUAUCUUGUCACUGUUCAACAGCAAGUGUAGACCAUCUUGGGGAAAUGAUGGAGAAGAACGAUAAAGGAAGUGAACUAGAGAAUCUGCAGCUCCAUCGUAAGUGCAAUGAGAUGCUGGUCAACCCUCGCAGUGAGUACAGGGUCACACGACGCUACCAUGGCAAAAUUAAGGCCGCCAUCUUUGACUGGGCAGGAACAGUGAUUGAUUGUGGUGUGUUCUCUGCUGCUGAGACCUUUAUUGAACUGUUUAUAGAGGAGGGUGUGAAUGUGACUAAUGAGGAGGCCAGGGGACCCAUGGGUAUGCACAAGCGAGCCCACAUAUGCAAGAUGUUGGAGGUGGAGAGAGUGCGAGCACGGUGGUUGAAGGCCAAGGAUGGCCCUCCUACCUCAGCUGAUGUUGACCGCAUGUAUGCGAAGUUUGUUCCCAAAAAUAUAGCAGCAUUGCAAAAGCACUCCAUGUUGAUUGAUGGUACAGUGGAAGCUGUAGAUAAGCUACGGGGGAUGGGUAUCAAAAUAGGGUCGUGCACAGGCUACCCCUCAACCAUUGUGGAAAAGCUUAAACCCUUUGCUGCUAAACAGGGCUAUGUCCCUGAUGCUAUUGUUGCUGCUGAUGAGGUGCCACAAGCCAGACCUAUGCCCUACAUGGUAUGGUUGAAUGCAAUCCGCAUGGACGUGAGCCCUAUUGAGGCGAUAGUGAAGGUGGAUGAUACUGUGGAUGGUAUUAAGGAGGGUCUGACUGCUGGCUGUUGGACCAUAGCUGUUGCAAAGACGGGGAAUUACAUGGCAGCAUCACAGCAUGAGCUGAACAUAAUGCCACACGAGGAGCUGGAGAGAAAGCUGACAAGGUCUUACGAGAUCCUCCAUGAUGCUGGCAGCCACUAUGUAGUCGAUUCCAUCAAAGAUGUGCCUGCUGUUGUGAGGGAUAUUAACAGGCGGCUGGCUGCUGGAGAGAGGCCUUGAACCAUUCCAAUGGUGUUGAAAGACAAGAAGUGGGGAGAGUAGCAGUUUGUGAGGUAAAGAGAAGGAAUAUAAACUAAACAUGGUCAGGGAGAUAUGAAGGACACCUUUAAAUAAAUAAUAUUCUCUCUACUGAGUGAUAUUAACUUCUUUAUUGUAUGAUUCUUUAGCUAAAAUACCAUAUAACCUCAGAAAGAGAAACAGAAAUCCACCCCUUUUGGGAAAAAAAUCAUUGCAGAAAAAAACUUGGCAUUGCCAGUUCACAACCAAAUUUCAAAUUAAAAAAUAUUUUAUUGUCAUGAAAAUGGCAGGCACAUUGUUUGAAAACAACAGAUACAUUAUUUACAUUCCAAUAUCAUUAACUGUACUCAUAUUACACUAAUCAAGUAUUUCAUGACAAUAAGGACAAUGAGAUAUUACCUGGUACUGGUACAGUAUAUGUGUCCUCAUCUCAUAUUUGGUAACAAAAUUAAGUACUGUAUGCUUGGAUAUGUGAGAAAAUUUUACCAAGAUUACCUGUAUAGUCAGCCUAAGGUAUUCACAGUCAUCAUAAUAAAAAAGACUUGCAAUCACUUAAUACAUACAGUAUACCUUUACUCUUCUUUUGUAUGUACAGAAAUUAAUGAACAUUCGUUUUGUAUUUUUCCUGAUAAACAAUUCUAUAUUUGUACUUUUUUAUCUGUGAAAGUUUUAUACACCAUACUUGUCCUACAGCUCUGUAUACUCUAUAUAAGUGACUUGUUUUUCUUGUGGAAUAUAAUUGAAUUUUCUAAUUUGUUUUGAAAAUAUUAUUGAAGACUGUCAGUACAAUGUCCUUGAUAAAUAUAAAUGUUAUUUCACGCCAUACAGUAUAGACCAGGGGUGUCAAACUCAUGGUCUGCGGGCCAAAUGUGGCCCUUGGGAUGGUCAGGUGUGGCCCGCGGCAACGCGGCAUGACAGUAAAAUUCAUCAUCCCGUGAAAUUAUGAAAGAAAUAGAUAUAAUCAUGUUUAUUUAGUAAAAUGAAUUUUACAUACUUAAGAUAGGACAAACCCAAAUGAGGUAUUCCUGGUAAGCCAGGUAAGGCAAUGUGUGAAACUGUAAACUUCAAUCCUGCAAAUAUGUGAUAUAGCACUUGUGUUGGGCCUGAAGAGGGUAACUAAAAUAAGAAUUGGCCCUUGAAAGGUUUUGAGUUUGACACCACUGGUGUAAGACUUAGAUUUUUGGUGGUUUUGUGCCAAAAAUUAAAUUUUCCUGAAAAUCACAGUAUAGGUACAACUGAGCUUGCUGAUGAAUAUGUGGGAAAUGAUUCGAUUGCAGAGUAAUUAGUGGCCAAAAUGACCCUUGAAAGAUUUUACUGACAUUUUCACUGCUAAUUACUCAUCAACUAUGGGUUUCCAAGGUGUGAUUUAGGGUAUAUAAAUGAACAAAAUAUACUGUACUGUACUGUACUCACCAGCAGAUGGUGUUGUUUUGUGCUUGUGAUGCAGGCAGGCCAAAUGGUGGUAUAAUGAUACAGGAUGGCCUGCCUUUGUCCUGUAUCAUUUACUGUAGCUGCUGUUGCUAAUUGUCGAUCCUCUCCCUCCAUGAAGGGAUUGUACAUGCACUGUAUAGUAUACUGUACAGUACAUACACCUCUACACACUAGCCUAAAGUAGGCUUACAGUACUCACUGCUGAUUGUACAGUACACUACAGUGUAUAUGUAACUGUAAUCACUUUUUUAUGUCUUAACACUGCUUUAAUACUAUUAUUGACUGAUUGUGUCCUGGUACAGUAAUAUACACUGUACAUACUGUACAGUACUGCACAACACAGAUUGUAUGCAAAAACAGCAGCUAACAAGGGAACAACCUUGUACAAUAUCAACAGAAUAUGAACUAAGCAUACAAGUUACCCAAGCAGCUAACCCACCUAUGCUCGGAAUGUAGAGUUUUCCCGGAAGUUUUCCACCUAUUGGAGAGUUCUGGGGAAUCAGGAUUCUGCCUUACGGGAGGAUUACUAUAUAUACAAAGAUAUUUCAAACCCUUCAGUAAUGGGUAUUUGUUAUGAUUUCUUGUCUUCAUUCCUGAGAAGUACUGCACACCAACACUUCAAAUUCAAAUGGUUAUGUCUGUGAUAAUAAUACAAUUCUCCGGAGCUGGUAAGUAUUCCUGCAAGGGGACGACACAGCCCCUUUUGCAGUACUGUAUCUUACAGCUGAAAAGAUAAAAAUAAAAAGUACUGUAUACUG
Molecule: unclassified non-coding RNA, 3562 nt
Filed under: Homarus americanus (American lobster)
Lineage: Eukaryota; Metazoa; Arthropoda; Malacostraca; Decapoda; Nephropidae
Description: phosphonoacetaldehyde hydrolase-like, transcript variant X5
Source: RNAcentral